RNAcentral lists this long non-coding RNA (1743 nucleotides) under Eucalyptus grandis. RNAcentral's name for it is "long non-coding RNA (EGRA_LNC001419)". The record is from RNAcentral. Lineage: Eukaryota; Viridiplantae; Streptophyta; Magnoliopsida; Myrtales; Myrtaceae.
UUUCGGUCACUAACUGGAGCAAUGUUAUGGCUGAUUGCUAGCCGUAUCCUUGCUGCUGAGUCGCCCCACAAUGUCUUCGACCGCAGAGCUUUGCUUCUGUCCAUGCCUUGCAGUCCAUCAUUGCCAUUGUAAUUGCCGUGGUAAACCUACCUUGCCAUACAGCCAUACGUUAGCGAUAUGGAUUGAUGUACCGAUAGAGCUAUUAUCCACUGCGUUUUGUUAAAAAUCGGAUCACCUCAUACCGGUGGCUUGUUUCUGGUCCAACUGAUUUUUAGAGUUGACUGUAUGUUCAGAUUUCCUUCACCCCUUUGUUUUUUGUGUUCAGAAUUUUGCGCAUCUUCUUAAACCGAAUCAUGGGAAAGCUAAGCUGUUCAAAGUCCAGUCGUCAUGGGGUCAAUACUUUGUCACAAAAUCGUUACAUGUUACCUGCUUCGCCAUUCCUGUCCUGUCCUUUGGUUAUUGAUUACUCCACCUUCGUCAAUUUCAUUGUCCAGAAGCAGGUAAUAAAUCUGAGAACAACCACUGAAAUGAUAUUUUAUUUGUGUUGUCUACUUCCUGCUUUAUUCUCUGUGCAUGACAUAUUCUACUUCACACGUGCUGUCGAGGGAAAUCAUGGUCGACAAUCAAUAUGAAGUGAGCAAGUUAUAUUUACUCUCUGUCAUUAGUUGAUAAGCUUUUGGGUAUGACAAUCAAGGAAUGAAACCAGUUAGUAGCUUGCUCAGAAUUAGUAAAUGAGGAUUUAUUUCUUUCUUGGAAGUGUCAAUGUCAUUGCUUUGUCUCUGAUCGUGGAAAGAGUUUAUUGUUCUUUUUGAACUUGCAUAAAAAUCGAUGGAAUGCUAAUGAAGCAGUGGGAUACCCGAAAUUUACAAGUUUUAUGAAUUGGUGUGUCCUGUUUUUGCAUAUGCUGUAGUUUAGCGGUUAUUGUUCAUCUAUGUUUGCUGAACCGUUUGAUUUAUCACUUUCAAUUAACAAGAUUUUGAUAAAGACACGUGACAGUUGUGAGAGAUGCAUUGAAACUGGCACUUUGGUGAUGACAGUGCUCCUUCGUGUCACACUAUGUACUUGUUUUUAGGAAAAAUCAUUUAUGAUGUUGGAGAAGUGAAUAUGUGUUGAAGGUGCCAACCCCUCGUGAUCUUGGACCCACUCGUUGAAGAAAUGGAGAGGUAUAAACGUAAUUACUUUCCUUCUCUUCGCAACAAUUCUGCCAUUCCCAUAGAAGUUCCAAGAGUACAAUGAGGUCACUUAAAAAUAAGAAAACAGAAAAUGGAGAAACAUUUUGAAUCGGAAGCAACUAAACUAGUGUUCUAUUAUGGUUUUCUCCUAAAAUAUGUGGUGCUUAGAAUCAUUGAGAGAGAGAGAGAGAGAGAGAGCUUUCCGGAGUAAUGCUUACAACCGUGGCUGAUCAGUCAAAUAGCACAUUGGACAAUGUACAAGACUAUGUUAAGCAGGGAGAAUUAAGAUAGGUAUCCGCGUGCUUUAGUUUCUUUGCGCUUCCAGCUGAGUUGAAGCUAGAUGUAUAUAGGCGGCAUGCAUCUAUGAAACAGAAUAUCUACAGUGUCAGAGUAAACGAGGUAAGUCUGAUAAUUAUAAUGGAGGUAAUAUACAUUUUGCAGGCCCAGUAAUGGACAUGUGACGUUUGGCCAACCAAAUGAACAUAUGAAGCACAAAACCAGAAACAAAUUCUUUCAUUGUCUCACUUGUCAGCACCGGUAAAAGCAUCACGCACCUGCAAACUUCAAACAU